CAUGCGGGAAGGAUGAGAAGCUUCGACUAAGGUUCGAUUCGAGCGGAGCGAGAAAACGUUGCCGCAGGCAACGACCCGAAGGGCGAGGCGCAACGCGCCGAGUAAUCCUUCCCCCACCACCA
This 122-nucleotide small RNA is filed under the name Klebsiella michiganensis. Its description in RNAcentral is "RtT RNA". It matches the Rfam family "RtT RNA", at positions 15 to 130 of the family's 130-position model. Rfam says of the family: This family represents a bacterial cis-regulatory element known as RtT RNA. The record is from RNAcentral. Lineage: Bacteria; Pseudomonadati; Pseudomonadota; Gammaproteobacteria; Enterobacterales; Enterobacteriaceae.